Schistosoma mattheei is the source of this 48-nucleotide non-coding RNA. NCBI's taxonomy places the organism in Eukaryota, Metazoa, Platyhelminthes, Trematoda, Strigeidida, Schistosomatidae. The record is from Rfam.
AUCCAGCUGACAAUUCCCAAAUAGGACUAAACACGCGUCAAACUGGAU